CUAUGGUGACUUUGAGGAUUUAGAGACAGGAGAGGUUUUUAAUAGCCAGGCUACGUCAGAAGAUAAAAAUUCAAUGGAUCAAAAAGAUGCUGACCCUGCGGCUGAGGAGCGAAAGUUGAAGAAACUUGCUCUUCGUGCAAAAUUCGACGCUCAAUAUCCUUUUUUCAAUAAUUCAUGAGAUUCAGAAAAUUACAUGAUUUCUUCACCCUUCAAAGCUAUAUCUAGAUGCAAAUAUUAAUUUUGAGGUGUGAGUGCUUGCAUUAUGAACGUGAUCAUUGAACACAAACACACGCCUCCCCUCUCUCUCUCUCUCUCUCUCUAUAUAUAUAUAUAUAUAUAUAUAUAUAUGUAUAUGUAUCCGCAUACACACCUGUCGUAAAUAUUAUAAACAUAAAAUCUAUUGAAAUGUGUCUGACGUUGAUAUCCAGACCAUUGAUACUUGGUAAAUUGCUGAUCUCUUACCAUUGCUGAUCAGCACUAUCUUGGCCUGUUUGUUUUUAUCUACUCCUAAUGUGUGUGUUGUGCUAGAAGGUUAAAAAAUAACUGUCAGCAAAAUUUGCUUUUCUGUCCUUGUUGAACAUAUGCUACCUGACUAAUUUGAUGUUUCAAUAUUCCGCCUGUUGCUAGUUGAUGUCGUUAUCAUAUUUUUCCGCUUUUGAAUGUUUUCUGUGUUCAUUAUUCGUGAGCUACUUUGAUACCUUAACUAUAACCUACAUAUGAUGGGUCUGCACAGUUAGAUGAUGAACCCAGUGAUGGAAAGAAUGCUAGUACUUCUCGAGACCAUGCUUCCGAUGGUGGAUACUUUGACAAA
This 811-nucleotide long non-coding RNA is filed under the name Spirodela polyrhiza (greater duckweed). RNAcentral's name for it is "long non-coding RNA (SPOL_LNC001607)". Lineage: Eukaryota; Viridiplantae; Streptophyta; Magnoliopsida; Alismatales; Araceae. The record is from RNAcentral.